CAGAGUUCAUGCCCCUCGGGGUAGAUCUCCCACCCUUGUGUAUCAUUAUAAAAAUGUUGCUUUGGCGGGCCGCGUGCCUAGCACGCCUGGAUUCGCGUCCGGCGUGCCCGCCAGAGGACCCCUAAACUCUGAUAAUUAUGUCGUCUGAGUACUAUUAUAAAUAGUUA
RNAcentral lists this unclassified non-coding RNA (167 nucleotides) under uncultured Lachnum. Its description in RNAcentral is "sequence contains ITS1". The record is from RNAcentral. Lineage: Eukaryota; Fungi; Ascomycota; Leotiomycetes; Helotiales; Hyaloscyphaceae.